GUCUGGCGUAGCCUGAGCACUCACGUGCGCGUCUGCAAUGCAGCAUCAGAUCUCGAUAGGCAAAUUUUGGCACAAUUCUCAGAGUUUUACAAACCCAAGAAUGGAAGCUGAGAUAGCGCUAUUGAGUAGCAGACUCCCUUCCUCCUCCGCCAGCCCCGGCACCACAGUGAAAUGGGAUGGCUGCGGUUUAUGGUUCACAUUUCAACCUGGAUGGUGGGAGUUUCCAUGUUAUGGUCAUAGCUGCAAAUCUCUGCCACUCUCAGUGCUGACUGCUAACUGUUCAGGUGCACAUGCAGAGAAGGAAGUCUCUGCCACUCUCAGUGCUGACCGCUACCUGUUCAGCACCUCUGCAUGGCAAAGGAAGAAAGGAAGGAAGGAAAGAAGACAGGAAGGAAAGAAGGAAGGUGGAGAAGAUUUUAGAAGGAGCAUUUAAUUCAACUGGAUACUCCCAGCACCAAAUCUCCCCUCUAAGAAACAUGGCUGAGACCAAAGAAAGAAGCAAGAAUGCCCUCUGAAGAGCCAGCUCAAGCUCCUGGAGUCAGAGCCAGCAGGAAUCAAUUAACUCCAGGAAACUGAGGCAACACAAAUGACCCCUGGCAUCCCCCAUGAGGACUGGAGGUUUCAGAAGCUGUGGAGACACGUCCGAUGUGCUAUCCUACCUGUGAAUUUGCUUCAUGGACACCUUGGCUGCCUACCCAACAGCAAUUCCCUACUCACUAUCUUCUAAUAGACCCUGAAUUUGUUCUAGUGUCCAUACCUUUCCAAGAAACCAUAGGCUUUAGGGAAUGCUGGUGUCAUUCCCAGUCCCAGGUGCUGAAGUUUGAAUAUAUUAACCCAAUGAAGAAAACUUCAUUCUUUGCCAGUGAUUGGUUUAGAAAGAAGCAGUUUUGGCCAGUGGGACAUGAAGGGAGGCUGUGAGGGGAGGCUUCCGAGAAAGGUUUCUUAGCUCUUUAAAAGAGACACAAGGAAAAGUCCCAUUUUUGUGUGUAUAAUGGAGUGUGAAGAUGUGAUGCCUGGACCUGCUGCAGCCAUUUUUUAACCAUGAGGAAGCUAACCAACAUGCUCAGGAUGGAAGAGCAGAAGAAAGAACUUGGGUUCUUGAUGAUGUUGUCAAGGUGCUGAAUUCAACAACCCUCGGGUUGUGACUUCUUGUUACGUGAGAUAAUAAAUCCAUUCACUGUUGC
Molecule: long non-coding RNA, 1184 nt
Filed under: Equus asinus (donkey)
Lineage: Eukaryota; Metazoa; Chordata; Mammalia; Perissodactyla; Equidae
Description: lncRNA (ENSEASG00005028698.1)
Source: RNAcentral